AUAUCUCUCCGUACGGGAAGGAUGAGAAGCUUCGACUAAGGUUCGAUUCGAGCGCAGCGAGAACGCGUUGCCGCAGGCAA
Molecule: small RNA, 80 nt
Filed under: Salmonella enterica subsp. enterica serovar Heidelberg
Lineage: Bacteria; Pseudomonadati; Pseudomonadota; Gammaproteobacteria; Enterobacterales; Enterobacteriaceae
Also listed under: 4 other names
Description: partial RtT sRNA
Rfam family: RtT RNA
About the family: This family represents a bacterial cis-regulatory element known as RtT RNA.
Source: RNAcentral